Molecule: long non-coding RNA, 372 nt
Organism: Lemur catta (Ring-tailed lemur)
Lineage: Eukaryota; Metazoa; Chordata; Mammalia; Primates; Lemuridae
Exons: 2
Source: RefSeq, a predicted model, not a curated record
GGAGGCUGCUGGGGGGUGGGGCUCGUCCACAGGCUGUGGGAGCAGCACCAAGAGCCAGCCUUGCCUGGGACCCCAGGCCCGCACACAGACGGUCACCAGCCUGUCCCAGCACAGCCACCCAGCUCACCACAGACUCUGAAACACAAAGAAAUUUAGUGGCAUUUAAUAGUAGGCAUCUGGACUUUCGGAAAUAUAGCUGAGAAGAAAAUCCAGCCCACCUGUGUAAGUGACUCCUGUUCCAGUUCUGUUGGUUGUGGAUUCAACGGUGCUAUCCCCAGGGUGCUGGGUGACAGGGAUGCUCACCAGACACCAUCCGUCAUCAAAGACGCUUACACAUACUUGAAAAUUGCAAUAAAAAAUAUAUGAUAGAUA